UCUGAUAUUAUCUGUAAGGAUUAUAUAAGUUCAUAAUACGGAUGAACGUUUCUACUAACUGCCGCAAAUAGUUAUCUAUAACCGCUUUUAUAGAUAUA
This 98-nucleotide non-coding RNA is filed under the name Eubacterium sp. RNAcentral describes it as "Guanine sequence". It matches the Rfam family "Purine riboswitch aptamer". Rfam says of the family: Riboswitches are metabolite binding domains within certain messenger RNAs that serve as precision sensors for their corresponding targets. Allosteric rearrangement of mRNA structure is mediated by ligand binding, and this results in modulation of gene expression. Lineage: Bacteria; Bacillati; Bacillota; Clostridia; Eubacteriales; Eubacteriaceae. RNAcentral also lists the same sequence under 1 other name. The record is from RNAcentral.